GACGAACCGUGCGAACGUUGUUCGGAAUCACUGGGCUUAAAGGGCGCGUAGGCGGGCUGUCAAGUCCGGGGUGAAAUCUUUCGGCUCAACCGGGAAAGUGCCUUGGAUACUGAUGGUCUGGAGGGAGGUAGGGGUAUGUGGAACUUCCGGUGGAGCGGUGAAAUGCGUUGAUAUCGGAAGGAACGCCGGUGGCGAAAGCGACGUACUGGACCUCUUCUGACGCUGAGGCGCGAAAGCUAGGGGAGCGAACGGG
RNAcentral lists this ribosomal RNA (253 nucleotides) under uncultured bacterium. RNAcentral's name for it is "partial 16S ribosomal RNA". It matches the Rfam family "Bacterial small subunit ribosomal RNA", at positions 524 to 776 of the family's 1533-position model. The record is from RNAcentral.